CCCUACGGGAGGCAGCAGUGGGGAAUAUUGGGCAAUGGGCGAAAGCCUGACCCAGCAACGCCGCGUGAAGGAAGAAGGCUUUCGGGUUGUAAACUUCUUUUGACAGGGAAGAGCAGAAGACGGUACCUGUCGAAUAAGCCACGGCUAACUACGUGCCAGCAGCCGCGGUAAUACGUAGGUGGCAAGCGUUAUCCGGAUUUACUGGGUGUAAAGGGAGCGUAGACGGUUCUGCAAGCCAGAUGUGAAAGCCCGGGGCUCAACCCCGGGACUGCAUUUGGAACUGUAAGGCUAGAGUGUCGGAGAGG
This 305-nucleotide ribosomal RNA is filed under the name uncultured bacterium. RNAcentral's name for it is "bacterial SSU rRNA". It matches the Rfam family "Bacterial small subunit ribosomal RNA", at positions 337 to 657 of the family's 1533-position model. The record is from RNAcentral.